Molecule: ribosomal RNA, 513 nt
Filed under: Tuber macrosporum
Lineage: Eukaryota; Fungi; Ascomycota; Pezizomycetes; Pezizales; Tuberaceae
Description: partial 28S ribosomal RNA
Source: RNAcentral
GCAUGGCGCCCGGGGCUAUAACACUCCUGGAAGGAGUCACAUUCCCCGGACCUUUAUCCCGCCGUCCCAACCGAUGCUGGCCCAGCCGAUGACAAGUGCACAGCCCAGAAGGACUAUUGUUUGUCAAAGGCCGAGUCUGGUCUCAAGCGCUUCCCUUUCAACAAUUUCACGUACUGUUUGACUCUAUUUUCAAAGUGCUUUUCAUCUUUCGAUCACUCUACUUGUGCGCUAUCGGUCUCUCGCCAAUAUUUAGCUUUAGAUGAAAUUUACCACCCAUUUUGAGCUGCAUUCCCAAACAACUCGACUCGUAGAAGACACUGAAUACCGGAGGGGACAUCCGGCCGAGAACGGGAUUCUCACCCUCUGUGACGUCCUGUUCCAAGGCACAUAGGCCGGGCCCCUCUGGAAGAUGCCUCUCCAAAGUACAACUCGGGCGCCGCAGACGCCAGAUUUCAAAUUUGAGCUUCUGCCGCUUCACUCGCCGUUACUGAGGCAAUCCCUGUUGGUUUCUUU